Molecule: ribosomal RNA, 497 nt
Filed under: uncultured bacterium
Lineage: Bacteria
Description: partial 16S ribosomal RNA
Rfam family: Bacterial small subunit ribosomal RNA
Source: RNAcentral
GGCGAACGCUGGCGGCGUGCCUAAUACAUGCAAGUUGAGCGCUGAAGGUUGGUACUUGUACCAACUGGAUGAGCAGCGAACGGGUGAGUAACGCGUGGGGAAUCUGCCUUUGAGCGGGGGACAACAUUUGGAAACGAAUGCUAAUACCGCAUAAAAACUUUAAACACAAGUUUUAAGUUUGAAAGAUGCAAUUGCAUCACUCAAAGAUGAUCCCGCGUUGUAUUAGCUAGUUGGUGAGGUAAAGGCUCACCAAGGCGAUGAUACAUAGCCGACCUGAGAGGGUGAUCGGCCACAUUGGGACUGAGACACGGCCCAAACUCCUACGGGAGGCAGCAGUAGGGAAUCUUCGGCAAUGGACGAAAGUCUGACCGAGCAACGCCGCGUGAGUGAAGAAGGUUGUCGGAUCGUAAAACUCUGUUGGUAGAGAAGAACGUUGGUGAGAGUGGAAAGCUCAUCAAGUGACGGUAACUACCCAGAAAGGGACGGCUAACUACGUG